Molecule: ribosomal RNA, 311 nt
Filed under: uncultured eukaryote
Lineage: Eukaryota
Description: partial 18S ribosomal RNA
Rfam family: Eukaryotic small subunit ribosomal RNA
Source: RNAcentral
CCCUUAGAUGUUCUGGGCCGCACGCGCGCUACACUGAUGCAUUCAACGAGUUCCUUGGCCGUGAGGCCUGGGCAAUCUUUUGAACCUGCAUCGUGAUAGGGAUAGAUUAUUGCAAUUAUUAAUCUUGAACGAGGAAUUCCUAGUAAACGCAGAUCAUCAGUCUGCAUUGAUUACGUCCCUGCCCUUUGUACACACCGCCCGUCGCACCUACCGAUUGAAUGGUCCGGUGAAGCCUCCGGAUUGGCGCGCACCUCGGUGCCGCCGAGAAGUUGGCUAAACCUUACCAUUUAGAGGAAGGUGAAGUCGUAACA